AUCUAACUGACGAGUCCUAAAUAGGACGAAACACGCGUCAAAAUGGAU
Schistosoma haematobium is the source of this 48-nucleotide non-coding RNA. The record is from Rfam. Lineage: Eukaryota; Metazoa; Platyhelminthes; Trematoda; Strigeidida; Schistosomatidae.